This is a non-coding RNA of Delphinapterus leucas (beluga whale), 4951 nucleotides long. The record is from RefSeq and is a predicted model, not a curated record. Lineage: Eukaryota; Metazoa; Chordata; Mammalia; Artiodactyla; Monodontidae.
CCGCACUGGAAGGCGAAGUCUUAACCACUGGACGGCCAGGGAGGUUCCCCAGGUUUUCUUUCUGGUGGUGGUGGAGGGUUGGGGAGGGAGGUGGGUGACUGGUCCCACCUGGCCCUCCCAGCAGGCCCAGCUGACCGGUGCCCGACUCCUCAGCUACUCCUGACCACCGGCCUCUGAGUUUCCAUGGCAACCGUUCCAGAAGUUUAAAAGGAAGGAAAAGGCCAGGGUGCAAGCACAGACCCACUCCUGGCUCCAGGCAGAUUCUCAACCACUGCGCCACCAAGGAUGCCCUGGUUAGCAUGUCUUGACAGCUGGGACGUGAGCUCCUCCUGGCCAGGCCACCCUGGACGCUGGGAACAUAGUGGGGACAUCCAGGGAGGCCACUGCCUGUUACGAUGUAUAGACAGGCCAGAGGAAGAACUUGGGGCAGAAGUCCCUGUGGGCACGUCCUGAGGCCACACCGGAGCGGGGCCCGGCGGCUGGAGUUCAGCACCACGGUCAGCACCCUCCACCUAAGUGUGAGUCAGGACCGGAGUCUGAGUGAGCAUGAAGAAGCAGAAGCAAGAGAGGUUAAGAGACCUUGGCACAGCCCAGAGAAAGCACCGCUCAGGGAAACCGCCGAGUGACUGCGGGAGCCUGGACCCAGCCAUGCUGGAGACAAUGCAGCUUCUGCGAGAUGAGGAGAUUCUCUUCUUGUUUCAGUUGCCAGGGUCAGUGUAGUGGACAUCAGUAGGCUGUUUGGCUCUCCAGCACCUUCUGAAUUCCCUUCUUUAUUUUCCAGAACCGUGCUUUCUCGCCCUCCUCUACUGCCACGACCUGGUCAGGUGAUCUAGAACCUGCCAGUGGGACACACCUUCAUGAGUUGGAUUCAGAAGAGAGGCAGAGAGACCUUGUGCUUUGGCGCCUGCAGUGGCAGAAGGUGGGCGGCGGCACCGUGUCCAGCGACGGAGAUGGGAGCUGAGGCCUCCGCGCCCCGUGGCAGUGGAAGGUGGGGGUACCCCCGGCGGAGCCCCCCGACCGGAUGCACCCGGCUCUCGGAGUUUGUGGCCACUCAUGUGCUUUGGCAGCUACUGUCUUAAUCAGGGGAGAAGCCUGGGGCCCGGGGCCCGGGUGGUGACUCUGGAGCCUUGUCCCCUCCUUGCGGUGCUGCUGUGAGAACAGAUGAGGAAACUGGACUUGGAAUGAAUGUUUUGGUGCCUCCACCGUGAACCCCUCACCCACUGAAGGCAGAGCCGGGACCCUGUCUGCUCCGCCGCCCAGUCGGUGCCCCUGUGAUGGGGGUCAGCUCCUUCCAUCAGGUGGCAGCAGAGAGAGAAGCAACCCGAAUGCCCGGGAACUGUCUCCGAGGGGACGUGCACUCACCGUGCUGGCAGUGAACUCUGGCGGGUUGUCGUUCACGUCUGUCACCGUGAUGAUGGCUGUGGCCGUGUUGGACAGGCCAUAGUUCAGGCACACGGACACCAGCGUACUCUGUGUCUGAACACAGUCUGGGAGGAGUGGUUAGCGUCAGAUGCAGCUGUGAAUUUUAAAAGGCAAAAUGAUGCUUGAUGGGGACGGCGAAUUUCACUGGGCACUGAAGGGGCCGCCCAGCCCUUCUCCACCUGGACCCACUGGUGCAGCAACCCCAGGUCAGCAGAGGGGGCCUUUCCACACCCCUGUUCUGAGCAGAGGGCCGCAGGUGUUUCCAACUGUGACAGGUGGGGACGCUGAGCCUCACGAUGUCCCCAGUGGCACACAGCAAACCAGAGGCUGCUGGAGUGGCCACUGGGAUUCCUGAUGCGGGUUGGCGCCUCUGUGACGGAUGAAUGCGGACGGCUCCGUGUUGCCAAGGCAGCGACGUCAGCCAAGAUGCCAGCAGGCCUCUUUCUGAAUGUGGCACACGAGGUACCCAAGGGCACGGCAGCACCAUCCUUAACCCGCUUCCCCCCGACAGUUGCACGGUCAGGAUCCACCUCCACGUGUGUGGACAGGUGCAUAUGCUCAGACAUCCAUCAGGCCCUUGACAUCAGGACCUCGCUCAGGGCAGGGGUCCCUCCUUCGCGACUGCUAUGCCUCCGGACCCCAGCAGGGAAUAAGUGCCCCUCCCUCUUUCCCAUCAAAGGCGGCUGGUCAUCUCUGGUCACUGCUGCCUCAGCAGGGACAUGGCAGCGACAGGCUGGGGACAGUACCAGUGCCAGGGUGGGUAGACCGACAAACUGAACCCAAACCUCAGGUCCCCACGUGCCCUCGGCGAGGGUCCUGCCCAGAGCAUCCCGGAUCCAGCUAGGCCUGAAGGCACCCUUUGUGUUCAAUUACACGAGCCAGUUAUCCCUCUUUUUUGUUUGAUCCGGUUGGAGCUGGUUUCUGUCCUCUGCCACAGAAGGGGGUCUGACUGCCCCACCUGUUACUGUCUUUCUUUUUGUGAGGGACAUCAUCACGGGAAGCACAGUGGGACGACCGGGCACCUAAUGCAGGAGAGAACAGGACUCUGCUGACGUUUUCCCAGCACCCCUGGUCCCGACCCUCUGGGGCACCGAUGGGGCCUGAGGGCAGACUCGGGGCCCGACUGUCGUGGCCUCAGUCGGGGUGUUGUGGUGAGGGCUCCGCCAUCGAGCCUCGCCAGAGUCGCCCCCACAGUGUAGACAGACACCAUGCCCUCCGUCCGGUUCUGUCUUAGAUUAUUCCUUACAGCUAAGGCUUUCUUGUACUUCAAUAAACACAUUUAGAAGCGUUUAUGCCGCUGCUAUAAAUGGCAAACGAGCAUCACCUUCCACAAAUAGAAAUUAGUCCUAAACACGACUGUGUAUUUUUAAAGGUUCAUCUGUGAAUGUCCAGGCCCAGUGCACGAAGCACACGGGGGGACCCAGGCCGAUGGAGCCACGCGACGCCCCCCUCAGUGGCUGCCCGUCACCUCUCGCCACGUGGAGAGACACGCGGGCUGAGAGGGGCCCGCCCCACCCCCGGCUGGUAGGCUAACACGGAGCGGGUCCCAGGGCUCCUCUGCUAGGACCUGCCCUGGCUCUGCUCCCUGGGCAGAAGCAGAGGCCUACAGGCCACCGGUCCCGGGGCAGGUGGGGCCCGCUGGCCGCAUGCUUUCUCCUCCACCGCCACCCAUGGGGCCUCCCUGCUGCCCCCCAAAGCCACGGUGCCCUCCGGGCCGGUGCAGGGCUGUUCCGCCUGCCCUAGCACUCUGCUCGCCCCCAUCAGCAAGGCCUUCCCUGCCUCCCUGAAUAAAAUACAAUCUCUGCCCCACGGCCGCUCCCCCUGCCGGCUGCCCGCUCUCCCGAGACUCUGCUUCACUUCUCAGCGUCAGCGUGGCCGCCCUCCGCCGGCUCCUGCCCCACGAGGAGGGCUCCAGAGCCCAGGACUUCACACUCAGUGCCGUCUCCCCGGCGUCUACAACACGCCUGCACGCUGUCCGUGGGUGGCGGGGACGAUGCCGCCCUCCCUGGGCGCUGGCGGUGACUGUCUGUGGGCACAGCUCAGCGAGGCCGGGGCCACAGCUUGGAUCGGUCUGCCCCAGGGCAGCCGGGCACAGGACAGGGGUGGGCAUCAGGGAUGCCCCUCGGGCUGACCCAUACCACAGGUCUGGCAGCAGAGAUGUUUCCAGAGCUCAGCAGGCGGAAUGGGCGAGUGGGCUCCUAGGGGUCAGUGUUGAAGGGAGACCGCCUCAGGGCUGGCUGCCCUUGCAGGGCUGAGGCACCCAGAGUCCCACCGCGGGGCACGCACAGGCUCUGCCAGCCCCGACGUGGAAGGCUCCAGCCAGCCUGGGGGAUCUGGAGGUGGGAGCUGGGGAUGCAGAGCAGGAGGGAGCCGGCUGGAUCUCCCACCUGACCACAAAUUCACUUUUGCCACCCAGGCCCUGCUUUGCGCGGGCUGUCACGGGGAAGAAAACACACAUGAUCAUAGCGCAGGAGCCCGCUGUCCGGCGCGGGCAGCUUCACCCUAAACGGGUCAUGCAUGGGCCACGGCGGGCGGGCCUGAGACGGACGGCGCUUGGCUGCUGGGGCCUCGGCUGCCCACCUCUGUUCCCACCCUGGUCUCGUCGGCCAGCAGGGAUCACAGAGGUUAUUCUUUGGGGGCAAUAAAGACAAACCCAAAUAUAAGUCCCAUCAGGAGCCUCAGAACAUGGAAAUAGGGCCUCUGUACAUAAAGUGAAGGUAAGGCUCGAGACGGGACCACCUGGGCUAGGGCGGCCCCAAUCCAGUGACAGGUGUCCUGGGGAGAGGAGAUGAGGGCACAGGACACAGGGAGGAGGUGGCCACUCGAGAUGGGGGCAGAGACUGGAGUGGCCACAAGCGAAGGAUGCUGGCAGAAGCACAGGAGGUGUUCCACGACCCUCCAGAAGGAACCAGCACGGCCUGCGUUUGGGAUCUCUGGCCUCCAGAGCUGGGAGAGCAUGCGAUUCUGUUGUCUGAUGGCGCCCAGUCUGUGGUCACCCAGGAACCGCAUAAUGGCCUCGGGCUCACCCUUCCCAGGCCGCUGGAGGCAUCUGAGAUACCACCUUCCCCAUGCUGGCCUUGCUCCAAGCAGAUGGUGAGAUUCCACUUGGAGAGGCUUCCCCUGAGACCCCGUGGCCUCACCGUCUGGGCUCUGUCCAUCUCACCGCCCGGCGGGAAGGAGGCAGGCCCAGGGCUGGAAGGCUGGGAGGAGGGUCGUCACCCCAACCUCGCCUCUGGGACCAGCCGACACUGCAACGGGGCUGAGCAGGAAACAGGAGGAUUCAUGCCCACAGCAAAGGGAGGGGCUUAACCAGAGAAGAGGAAGAAAAGUGUCGCCGUUGUCACGUGACUGACUGCAGCCAGAAGUCACUCGGUCUUUCUCGUCUCCUUAAUCAUAGAAUCACAGCCUCUACACGGGGCCGUCAUGGGCUGCUGCCCUCAGAAGACAAUGGAGAGAAACAUGGGGACACAUGCAGGUGUGUGUUAUGCAUGUAUGCAUGCACGUGCAUGUUUGUGUACUAGUGCACACA